RNAcentral lists this ribosomal RNA (303 nucleotides) under uncultured bacterium. Its description in RNAcentral is "partial 16S ribosomal RNA". It matches the Rfam family "Bacterial small subunit ribosomal RNA", at positions 510 to 808 of the family's 1533-position model. The record is from RNAcentral.
AGCAGCACCGCGGUAAUACGGAGGAUCCAAGCGUUAUCCGGAAUCAUUGGGUUUAAAGGGUCCGUAGGCGGUCUUGUAAGUCAGUGGUGAAAGCCCAUCGCUCAACGGUGGAACGGCCAUUGAUACUGCAGGACUUGAAUUAUUGGGAAGUAACUAGAAUAUGUAGUGUAGCGGUGAAAUGCUUAGAGAUUACAUGGAAUACCAAUUGCGAAGGCAGGUUACUACCAAUUGAUUGACGCUGAUGGACGAAAGCGUGGGUAGCGAACAGGAUUAGAUACCCCUGUAGUCCCUGUCUCUUAUACC